Molecule: non-coding RNA, 73 nt
Organism: Ameiurus melas (black bullhead)
Lineage: Eukaryota; Metazoa; Chordata; Actinopteri; Siluriformes; Ictaluridae
Source: the annotation of a GenBank genome assembly
GGCAGUGGUACCUCAGUGGUUAAGGUGUUGGUCUACUAUGCAGAAGGUAUGAGGUCAAAUCCCAGUACUGCCA